AAUUAAUACCAAUGGAAACAAAAUUUGGCUAGCUGUCCAACAGGGACAAAAACUGCUGUGUUUCUGUAGUUAUUUAUUAAUUCUCAUUUAUUGUUAUGUCUAUAGUAGCAUAACUUUACAGGCAAAAUGGGAAAAAGCUCUAAGUCUGCCUGCAAACCUCUGCACAUCUGUUUCAGUGAGAUGCCAUGCUGACUGAAGAGCCUGGUUGGAGCAGCUAGCAGCAAGGGUACCUGAGAUCUUAAUUCCUCUCCUCUAAUGGAACACACCUAACUGAGGAUACAAGAUCCCAGAUUUUGAUGUUGCCUGUGAUGAAAUGCAGAAAUCUCCAAGAGUAAUUCAGAUUUUAGAAGGAUAUGAAUCACUCUUGGAAGGUACCUACCUCAUUCCAGUGCCUACAGAGAUUGUUGAGGAGAAAUAUAUUUCUGGUAAGAAGAUCUUAGAGUCUGCAACCGACCUGAGCCUACACUGUUUUCUCUACAUUCAGUGCUUCAGCUAAGUAAAUUGUUGUAUCUUUUUAUUUUCUUUAACACUGUGCUAAAAAUGCAUGUAGUUUAUAAAGAAGGAUCCAUCAUGCAGUAGUGGAAUUUAUAAGAUUUUCUAUAUAUAAGAAGAAAAAAAGAGUAUUUCUAAUUUUAAGCUGUUUUACAGGGAAGAUUAAGGCAAGAAAAAUCAAGCAGAAAGAACAGCAUGAAAGUAGCAAUAAGAGAAAUCUGUGCAGUAUCUCUCCAUAAUAGCCUCCAAUGUUUUGGGAACAAAAUAACAUCUGUCUGUAUCUCCUUCAGAGAUGUACAGACCUUAGAUAUUGCAAAGAUGUAGAAAAGGAGGCAGAAGAAAUAGGAACAUUUUAAACCUGAUGCACUGGAAAAUCUCCCCACUGUUGAGUACUUUCUAUGAAUUGCAGCACAGAGGAAGCUGAAUGCAGCCCAAGAUUGAUCUUGGUUUGGAGGAGCCAGACUGCGUAGAAAGAGGAGAAACUUGUUCACAGCAACAGAUGACAAAGGACUCCAUGUUGUUGCUUACACUCAGAAUGGUCUGGACACCCACAGCAUCUGGCAAACCUCUGCAACAGCCUUGGGUUGAAAUGGAAGCUCAUGCUUCAGACAAAGAUCUCCUCUCAGCUUUCCAGUAAGCCAACAUUUCUGGUCACUGACUGACAGAGCUAUCAUAUAAUUGGGUGCCAGAAGGGUGCAGAAGAAAUAUGUCAGAAGACUCAUUUCCUCAAGGUGUCUAUCUUUUCAUGGAGUAUAAAGGCAACCUAUGGUGACUUUAUGUCCUUGUCUACAAAUAAUACCCCUGAAGCUAGCCCUCCCUGUCUCUAUUACCAGCGCAGAACUGUGCUGCCAGUAGUCUAUAUUCUUAAGAAUAACAGCUCUUUUGCAAUCCCAGGUCUCAAUACAAAUGCCGGUCGCGUCCUAGCUGUAUAGUGGAGUGAGAUCUGGAUGUCAACCAACCUUACCUUCUUAUGGCCUGAUUUCCCUAGAAAGGGAACUUGGGUACUAGUCCCAGACAUAAGUUGCAGUAUGGUGAAACAGUUCCUGCAUCCCUUCAGGUCCCAUUUCUAGAUGACUCUCAAGUCCACCAUCCUUCCAUGGCACUCUGCUCUGCAUGCUGGCUGGUGGGAAAUAUAUUCCUAAAACCUAAUUUUCCUCAUGCACUGGUAAGGAGGCAUCUAACAGAUAGCUCAUGUUGGUGACCAGUAAUGCAGGACCAGGGACGAAGGACAGUCAAACAUAGAGCCUGAGAUGAUCUCUCUCUUCUUUUGUCUACAUAUUUCAGUGUAAAGUUUUGAAUCAGGUCUAAAUAUAAGAAACAUCUGCACCUUUACCAAAGUGGACAGAUGGUGGGCUCCAAUGCCUGUAGCUUGCAUGUAACUUAUGGUGGCUAAUAAAGCAAUAUGCUGAAAACUGUGGCUGUAUUCU
This is a long non-coding RNA of Anser brachyrhynchus (Pink-footed goose), 1919 nucleotides long. The record is from Ensembl. Lineage: Eukaryota; Metazoa; Chordata; Aves; Anseriformes; Anatidae.